UGGGGCAGAGCUCAGUGGUAGAGGCCUUACCUAGGAUGCAUGAGGCCCUGGGUUCCAUCCCCAGCCCGAA
This 70-nucleotide transfer RNA is filed under the name Marmota monax (woodchuck). Its description in RNAcentral is "tRNA.Pro". The record is from RNAcentral. Lineage: Eukaryota; Metazoa; Chordata; Mammalia; Rodentia; Sciuridae.